RNAcentral lists this ribosomal RNA (295 nucleotides) under Methanoregula sp. RNAcentral describes it as "partial 16S ribosomal RNA". It matches the Rfam family "Archaeal small subunit ribosomal RNA", at positions 1 to 310 of the family's 1478-position model. Lineage: Archaea; Methanobacteriati; Methanobacteriota; Methanomicrobia; Methanomicrobiales; Methanoregulaceae. The record is from RNAcentral.
AAUUCUGGUUGAUCCUGCCAGANNGAGUUCGAUUAAGCCAUGCGAGUCGAGAGGUGCAAGACCUCGGCAUACUGCUCAGUAACACGUGGACAAUCUGACCUAUGGAAGGGGAUAACCCCGGGAAACUGGGGAUAAUACCCUAUAGACUAUGGAGGCUGGAAUGCACUGUAGUCGAAAGGUCCGCCGCCAUAGGAUGGGUCUGCGGCCGAUUAGGUUGUUGUUGGGGUAACGGCCCAACAAGCCUGUAAUCGGUACGGGUUGUGGGAGCAAGAGCCCGGAGAUGGAUUCUGAGACA